Oncorhynchus mykiss (rainbow trout) is the source of this 1065-nucleotide non-coding RNA. Lineage: Eukaryota; Metazoa; Chordata; Actinopteri; Salmoniformes; Salmonidae. The record is from RefSeq and is a predicted model, not a curated record.
AGGGAAUGUAUCUGGAGAGGGGUGACUGGAAGCCAAAGUGCAGACCUGUGAGUGCACUGGAAGAGGCCAAAAAACCAUGGCAACAGAGAUAAUGGUGCUGACAGACCCUGAGUUUGAGAGCAGUGUGCUCAUGAGCUCAGAUGAAGGAGCGAGCUAUCAGAAAUAUCUUCCUCAGCUUCUACAUCGUAAUCCUUCUGUUCCAUCCAACACAGGAGGAUUGGGCCCUAGCCUACAGCCACGACCAGAAGGUCAUAUCCCAUAUAACUUCCCGUGAAGAAGACUUACCAUUAUGGCCAAUGAGUCUUACCUGGCUACCAAGAUGGCUAUUCCACAUGGAAGACUGGUUGAGGUGGGAGAAGAUUGACACCUUGGGUUGCUAACUGACCUCAAUAUCAGUCAUAACAAUGAAACCUGGACAGCUCCAGAGGUUGUAAUUUGUUACGCUUUCGGUCUGUGAUGGCCUUCGUCGGAAAAUGCUGGCUACACGAGUUUGUAACAGAAGCUGAUGGGCUGUUUGAUGCAAACUAUAGAUGUUGGUGAUAUUUUGUUUGCAUUAAAAGGAUGGACCUUUUUGGACAUGGAACACUCCCAGAAGACAUACCUUUGCGGACAUGGAACACCCUCAGAAGACAUACCGUUGUGGACAUGGGACACUCUCAAAAGACAUACCUUUGUGGACAUGGAACACUCUCAGACAACAUAACUUUGUGGACAUCGAACACUCACAGACGAGAUAAGUACAAUGCUGAUUAAAUGAUUCCUUAAGCAUUGAUGCGUCAUGGAAUCUAAUGGUGAUUAGUAAAUUAGAUAAUGUACUGUAGUAUUUCAUUGGGAGUCCAUACAAGUGCAACUUUAAAACAGUCUGUUCUUUACUGAUAACAUAUAUAUUUUUCUAUAUUCAAACAGCUGUGUCUCAGGCUUUGUCAGAACCAUUUUAAUAUUUGUCGUUGGUCUUUUUGUAUUAAAUGCAGGUCAAUCUUUAUCUCUUUCCGUCAAUGUCUGGAGUAAACUGUUCUCUUUCGAGUUCUUGACUCAUCUCAGAAUUAGUUUGCAGUGUAAAGACAU